UACGAAGGGGGCUAGCGUUGUUCGGGAUUACUGGGCGUAAAGCGCGCGUAGGCGGUGAUCUUUGUCAGGGGUGAAAUCCCGGGGCUCAACUCCGGAAUUGCCUUUGAAACGGGAUCGCUAGAGUCCGAGAGAGGAUGGCGGAAUUCCUAGUGUAGAGGUGAAAUUCGUAGAUAUUAGGAAGAACACCGGUGGCGAAGGCGGCCAUCUGGCUCGGUACUGACGCUCAGGCGCGAAAGCGUGGGGAGCAAACAGG
This 253-nucleotide ribosomal RNA is filed under the name uncultured bacterium. RNAcentral describes it as "partial 16S ribosomal RNA". It matches the Rfam family "Bacterial small subunit ribosomal RNA", at positions 524 to 776 of the family's 1533-position model. The record is from RNAcentral.